GAGGCCUUCGGACUGGCCCAGGGAGGUCGGCAACGACCACCCAGGGCCGGAAAGUUGGUCAAACCCGGUCAUUUAGAGGAAGUAAAAGUCGUAACAAGGUCUCCGUAGGUGAACCUGCGGAGGGAUCAUUA
This 131-nucleotide ribosomal RNA is filed under the name Cladosporium sinuosum. RNAcentral describes it as "partial 18S ribosomal RNA". It matches the Rfam family "Eukaryotic small subunit ribosomal RNA", at positions 1703 to 1831 of the family's 1831-position model. The record is from RNAcentral. Lineage: Eukaryota; Fungi; Ascomycota; Dothideomycetes; Cladosporiales; Cladosporiaceae.